AUUAUACUCCCUCCGUCCCAAAAUUAUUGUCUUCGAUUUGUCUAGAUACGGAUGUAUCAAGUAUCUAGACAAAUCUAAGACAAGAAUUUUGGGACGGAGGGAGUAUUUC
Triticum aestivum (bread wheat) is the source of this 109-nucleotide non-coding RNA. The record is from Rfam. Lineage: Eukaryota; Viridiplantae; Streptophyta; Magnoliopsida; Poales; Poaceae.